UACGUAGGGUGCAAGCGUUGUCCGGAAUUAUUGGGCGUAAAGAGCUCGUAGGCGGCUUGUUGCGUCUGCUGUGAAAGCCCGGGGCUUAACCCCGGGUCGGCAGUGGAUACGGGCAGGCUAGAGGUAGGUAGGGGAGAAUGGAAUUCCCGGUGUAGCGGUGAAAUGCGCAGAUAUCGGGAGGAACACCGGUGGCGAAGGCGGUUCUCUGGGCCUUACCUGACGCUGAGGAGCGAAAGCGUGGGGAGCGAACAGG
RNAcentral lists this ribosomal RNA (253 nucleotides) under uncultured bacterium. Its description in RNAcentral is "partial 16S ribosomal RNA". It matches the Rfam family "Bacterial small subunit ribosomal RNA", at positions 524 to 776 of the family's 1533-position model. The record is from RNAcentral.